This 423-nucleotide ribosomal RNA is filed under the name uncultured bacterium. Its description in RNAcentral is "bacterial SSU rRNA". It matches the Rfam family "Bacterial small subunit ribosomal RNA", at positions 359 to 773 of the family's 1533-position model. The record is from RNAcentral.
GAAUAUUGGACAAUGGGGGGAACCCUGAUCCAGCCAUGCCGCGUGUGUGAAGAAGGCCUUUUGGUUGUAAAGCACUUUAAGCGAGGAGGAGGCUACUCUAGUUAAUACCUAGAGCUAGUGGACUGUACUCGCAGAAUAAGCACGGGCUAACGCUGGGACGGCAGCCCCGGUAAUACAGAGGGUGCAAGCGUUAAUCGGAUUUACUGGGCGUAAAGCGCGCGUAGGUGGCCAAUUAAGUCAAAUGUGAAAUCCCCGAGCUUAACUUGGGAAUUGCAUUCGAUACUGGUUGGCUAGAGUAUGGGAGAGGAUGGUAGAAUUCCAGGUGUAGCGGUGAAAUGCGUAGAGAUCUGGAGGAAUACCGAUGGCGAAGGCAGCCAUCUGGCCUAAUACUGACACUGAGGUGCGAAAGCAUGGGGAGCAAAC